This 119-nucleotide ribosomal RNA is filed under the name Pteropus alecto (black flying fox). Lineage: Eukaryota; Metazoa; Chordata; Mammalia; Chiroptera; Pteropodidae. The record is from RNAcentral.
GUCUACGACCAUGCUGCCCUGAACAAGCCUGAUCUUGUCCGAUCUAGGAAGCUAAGUAGGGUCGGGCCUGGUUAGUACUUGGAUGGGAGACCACCUAGGAAGACCAGGUGCUGUAGGCA